GAUGAACGCUGGCGGCGUGCCUAAUACAUGCAAGUCGAGCGAACAGACGAGGAGCUUGCUCCUCUGAUGUUAGCGGCGGACGGGUGAGUAACACGUGGAUAACCUACCUAUAAGACUGGGAUAACUUCGGGAAACCGGAGCUAAUACCGGAUAACAUGUUGAACCGCAUGGUUCAACAGUGAAAGACGGUCUUGCUGUCACUUAUAGAUGGAUCCGCGCCGCAUUAGCUAGUUGGUAAGGUAACGGCUUACCAAGGCAACGAUGCGUAGCCGACCUGAGAGGGUGAUCGGCCACACUGGAACUGAGACACGGUCCAGACUCCUACGGGAGGCAGCAGUAGGGAAUCUUCCGCAAUGGGCGAAAGCCUGACGGAGCAACGCCGCGUGAGUGAAGAAGGUCUUCGGAUCGUAAAACUCUGUUAUUAGGGAAGAACAAAUGUGUAAGUAACUGUGCACGUCUUGACGGUACCUAAUCAGAAAGCCACGGCUAACUACGUG
RNAcentral lists this ribosomal RNA (497 nucleotides) under uncultured bacterium. RNAcentral's name for it is "partial 16S ribosomal RNA". It matches the Rfam family "Bacterial small subunit ribosomal RNA", at positions 28 to 507 of the family's 1533-position model. The record is from RNAcentral.